AACGAACGCUGGCGGCAUGCCUAACACAUGCAAGUCGAACGGGUACCUUCGGGUGCUAGUGGCGCACGGGUGCGUAACGCGUGGGAAUCUGCCCUUGGGUUCGGAAUAACUCAGCGAAAGCUGUGCUAAUACCGGAUGAUGUCGAAAGACAAAAGAUUUAUCGCCCGAGGAUGAGCCCGCGUUGGAUUAGCUAGUUGGUGGGGUAAAGGCCUACCAAGGCGACGAUCCAUAGCUGGUCUGAGAGGAUGAUCCGCCACACUGGGACUGAGACACGGCCCAGACUCCUACGGGAGGCAGCAGUGGGUAAUAUUGUACAAGGGGCGAAAGCCUGAUCCAGCAAUGCCGCGGGAGUGAGGAAGGCCUUAGUGUUGUAAAGCUCUUUUACCCGGGAUGAUAAUGACAGUACCGGGAGAAUAAGCUCCGGCUAACUCCGUG
This 435-nucleotide ribosomal RNA is filed under the name uncultured bacterium. Its description in RNAcentral is "partial 16S ribosomal RNA". It matches the Rfam family "Bacterial small subunit ribosomal RNA", at positions 29 to 507 of the family's 1533-position model. The record is from RNAcentral.